CUCACAGAUAAAAGUGUAAUUUCCUUAUUAUGUAGAGAGCUCUUACAAAUCAAUAAGAAAGAGACCAGCCAUUAUUUCCCAAAUAGAAAAUAAACAGAGUUUGAACAGAUAAUUCAUAGGACGUGGAGACAUGGGCAGGGUGCAAUUUUACUGGUACUGGAAGGAAAGCUGAUAAAAUGGCAUGAAGGUGCUGACAGUCACCUGCUGCACUGACGUGAAUCGUGAAGUUGGAUAAUUCACUGUGUCCGGUGCCUGUGGGGAAAUACGAGCCCUUCCAUGUUGUUGGGAGUGUAAACUGGUCUGUGCCCACAGUGUGCAAUUUGGGAUUAUCUCCCCAGAUUACACCUGGACAUUUCUUGGACUAGCAAUUCCACCCCUGGGAAUUCACCCUACAAAUCUGCUCCCCCGUGACACUGACCCAAGGACAAGCCACAGGCUGAACCGCUGUCUGUAAGAUGGGAACGAGCGGGCACGGGGCAGAGGAAGCAGGAUUCAUCUCUGCAGUGGAUCCCAGACCCGAGGGUCCACGUCGCCGAGACCAUUCAGUAGUUAAAAUAGAACAGAGUCCGCUGCCCUUGUGGGAGAGAGAGAAGCGGGGGCUCCUGGGCUCCGUGUUUAUACACACGUGGGAAGGGGACUCAGGCCGUGCUGGCCGCCUCGGGGUGCGGCUGCCUCAGGCAGGGCGUGCAACCCCCCGUCUUUCUGUGCCUCUUGAACGUGGACCGAACCACCACGCGAUGUCUGUGGGAGACAUCUCUCAAUCCUGCCAGUGAAGGGCCCCUGCUGUGGGAGGGUGGAUGGCAGGGGCUCAGGCCAGAGCAGCGGCCGAGAGGCAGGGGGCAGAGGGGAAGUCCUGCGUGGCCUCGGUACUCCAGGUCUGGGGCUGGACGGUUGGACACUGAUUCGGGGCCGGCGCGCUAGCCAGGCCUCUGGGCCAGGCAGCCAGGGCUCCACGCCCGUGACCUGGGCUGGCCUGAACGCCGUGUGCCAGGGAGAGCAGUGGUGGUCACGGGGCCCCGGGUCCUCCUCCGGGCACCGGCCCAGCGGCCCAGAUGGUUUUCUUCACGCAGGAGCGCCGGCCGCCAGGGCAGAAAGCCCGGAAGAGCCUUGCAGCUGGCCCUCAUCUCAGCACCUCUGCCCGGGGUUGUUUUUUGCUGGAAAAUCAAUUCUGCGAGUCCAGCUGGGCCCUGGCCAGAGUGGCCGGGCGGCCGGCCCGGCUCCAGGGGAUGCGACCUGUUGCCUCUGUCCCGCCUCCUGUGGGCAGUGGGGGCUGUCUGGGCGGGGGCCGACGUCACAGGGAGAGAGCCUGCCUCCCUGCCCUGUCCCCUGCUCAGGCCACCCCAGGACAACUGCCCCGCCACUUCCUGGCCAUGGUCCCGUGCUGAAUGCCCACUCAUUGUCCCCACAGCCCUGAGCCCCUAGAGCCACACCCAGACGGAGGGCAGAGGGCGGAGGGCAGAGGGCAGCCAACGCUGGGUUGGCCAAAGGACCAAAGGGGGGCAGCCAUGAUGGUAGUAGGGUGGCUGGCGCCCCUCCCUGUCGGUACCACUGCUGAGAGCUCCCACCCCAGCGCCCGCCUCACUCUGCCCCAGCCCAGGGAGCCGCUCGGCACCCCUGCCCAGGGCUCACGUGUUCUUGCAGGUGGCAAGACCGCCAGUGGGGUGUCCCUCGGUCAUCCUGUGGCCCCACUGCCCAGAGGAGCUGCCUUUCGGCCCAUAAGCACCACGGCUUCUUCCACUACGCCCGUCCCUCUCCACCGGUUUGUGCCCCAGAUCAUGUCUCAGUUUACACGCACACACAUACACACGCACACGCAAGCACAUAUACACACACGCGCCAGACCCGCUCUCCCUCCAUCCCUGUGGUGACUCUGCUGCCCCGUCCGCUUGUUCACUUGCCCACGGUCUCAGCACCUCCAGUUCACAGACCCCUGUUAUUCCAUACAGAUUUGGGAUAAGACUGUUGAAGUUGCUGAAAACAAACAGCCAGCCUUCUGGCAGAUCGCAGCGCCCUCACGUCAACGUGGAGAGCAGGCGGGCGGGUCGACUAUGGUGGCUCAGAUGCGUCAGCAUUCGCGGGAGGCCGGCGCCCUUUGAUCAUUCCUCAGCUGCCUGUCAAGCGUGCUGCCAGGCAGGCCGGCCGGUUUUCUCACCGGGAACCAGGCGAUGGGUCGUGCGAGGGGCAGCCUCCCGGGCCGGUGCUCCGCCUGUGCUCGGUCGGCAGCUGGUGGAAGCGCUGGCAAGCGGCCGGCAGAGCGGUCCCUGUGGAGCAGCCGCCGUCUGGAUCUGCUCUAGCGCUCCGCUGAUUUGUAGGGUUUUCUGUUCCCAUGACUGUGGCGGCACCGGUGCGUUUCCCUCCUCCUUGCAAUGUCCUGCCUUGUGCUUGUGUCCCUGUCUCCUGGCUGUGGCCGUGGCCUCCGGCACAAUGUUAGACUCUGGGAGAUGAGCUGGGGUCCCCAAGACUGGGAGGGGAGGGCCUCGCCCGGGGUCACAGGGCCCAAGGACUCCUCGUGUCCCCACGGCCCUCCUCUACAGCCCCACCUGCUUCUGGGCUGAGCCAGGGACCCUCCAAGUCACCCCUCCGGCCUCCUCUCACACCCACACCCACGUCAGCGAAACCAAUGCAUCCAGAAUCAGCCCCUUCCUGCUGGGGUCCAGGCCACCCUCGUGCUCACCAAGUCCCCAGCAGUGUGGGGGGCCGGGCAGGCCGGGGCAGAGGUGCCUCCGGCUGCCGGGGGGUGGGGGCCUGAGCAGGUGCCGGUGAUGCCGGGAGGGGACCCACAGGACCUGGUGGGGGCUUGCAGAACAUGCAGUCAAGGGACCCUCGGGCUCCUGACGGCCCCGGAGCCAGGAGGGGCUGCUCCACGAGGCGGUGAUGUGUUGCAGGUCCUGGAGCCUCCCAAAGGGCCCACAGGACUGGCCCUCGGGACAGAGAUGGGCUGGGCAGCAUCCAAUAGGGAAGCAGAACCCACCUGCCUAGCAGGGCCGAGCACCGAGGCCUCGGGCACAGUGAGGCAGGGGCCGCUGGUGGGGUUGGCCUCGAGUCCACAGGCCCCUGGUCACACCUUCCAGUGAGCCCCGCAGGAGCUGGGGGGCAGUAGUCAGGGGGCCUCAGGGCUGGGAGUGGCACCCCCCACAACCAGGCGCCACGGCACCAGGUCAGGAGGCAGGGCUGGCAAGGAUGGGGUGGGGUUUGACUGUAAAGCCUGGUGGGAGAUCUGAGACCCUGAGUGAGCACCAGGGAGGGGCCACCAGACUCAGAGCCAGCCACUGGACAGAACGGUCACAGACUGGGGGCGUCCCCACAGCAGGCUCUGAACUCCCAGGGCAAUGCCAUCCUGUCCAUCACUUUCACAAGAUGGUCUGCAGUGGGCACCACCGGCCCAGGCUUCCUCACUGGGUUGGGCUGGGGUCCAUCCAGAGAGCUGCCCUCGGGCCCCUCUGGGGACAGAGAGCCUCAAGGAAAAGCAGGCCCAGCAGCAGCCCCACCCGGUGGGAGGGGAGCCUGAGGAGGGGGUCCCAGAGCCAUCAAUCUGGGCAGGCGAGAGGACAUUUCAGACACGUGAGGUUUCACAAAAUCACCUCCCUUGAGCCCAUUCUCAGGAAGCUACUGCAGGAUGCACUUCAGCAAAAUGAGGGUGUAAACCCAAGAAGAGGGUGAUGGGCCAGGAGAUCAGGCAGCAUGCGAGGUCCAUUCAUUCAUCCACUCGCUCACUCAGCAAACGCCAGCCACACACCGAGCGCGCAGCAGAGGACAUUCGGAGUCCCUCCUGACACGUUUCUGCGAAGGGAGUCAGAGCAAAACAGGUUUUCAAACUAAAAUAGAAAGUAUGGUUUCAGUUCAGACAUGUAAAGAGCUUAGAAGUCGUCACUUCUGUCCUUGCAACAAAAAUAGUUGAAAAACUGAAAAAUCAACAACUUUUCUUGGACCCGUCACAGAACCGAGGUCACAGGGCAAACCACCACCCUGAGAUCUGGAGGGACGGUGACGAGGUCACUCGCCUGCAGCAGAAGCCACUGGAGCCACGAUGGGCUGGUGUGCCCAGGAGUGAGCGGUGAUUUGCUGGAGCUGAGUGGACUCGAGUGAGAGAGAAGCUCCGGGAAAGAGAAGAGCAGCCCCAGCCCUGCCCCUCGCCCGACGCAGCGCCAUGGGGCAGUCUCCCUCUGCGUGGGCCCACGUGAAGGAGCCUGCGGCCGUGCUCCAGGGUCUGGUCCUUCCUCUGACGUGUGAGGCCCACACGCACUGUCUGUGAACGUCACUUGUCUUCACUGCUGUGGAAACCACUACUGGCCAUCCAUCCCACCACUGAUGGACGGGGUGUUUCAGGUUCUGCCCUUUAUGGUGAGAGCUGCUCUGGAUGCCCCUGACCCGGCGGUCAGUCACUGCGUGUCCGUGUAUCAGAGCCCCCGGGAGUGGAAAUGCCGGUCAGGGGGUCUCAGCGGGGCUCCGGGGAAGCGGCCCUGGGAUGGGUUCCACACACAGCUGGUGUGGCAGGAGCCCUCUCGGCGACACCCUGCAGGGCCCAGCGAGAGCACUGGGGCAGAGGGGCAUGGGGGUCGGCGGGGGUCCCCUUGGAGUGGGCGGGUGUCCACAGCCAUCCUCAGCUGAGACAAAGGGGCUGGAGGUUUGCACUCCGAAGCCAGGGACUAAGUGAGCAGAAGGGACGACCCCCCAGCAGGCUGCAGGAUGCUGGACCCACAGCACCAACUACGGCCGGGGUGGGCUUCGGGGCGGGGGGCAGCUCUCAUGGCUGAGGACACCGUGCAGAGGGCUGAGCCGUGCGCCCUCAGGAACUAGGGCUCCAGGGCUGGGGAACAAAUGCCCUGGUCCUGAGCGGACGCCCGGUGCAUGCACCACCACCCCCGCUGUGGGGAAGGUCACCGUGUCUGGACGCUCCUGUGGGGGUUCCCGACGGUCUUUUUUUCUCUUCCAACUUUGGAAUCAGAGUUAAUGCAACCUCAUGACACAAGUUGGGAGGUGCACCCACUCCCUGUGAGUGGAAGUUUGUGUGAAACUAGUUAUUUCUUCUCUAAAUAUUUAAGACUCACCACGAAGUCAUCCAGAUUUGUAAUUUUUUUUUGAGGAAAUCUUUUUUAAAUUUGAAUUCUUUAAAGUUAUAGAGCUGUUCAGGUCUUUAUGUUUGUGUCAGUGUUCGCAAGUGUUGUUUUUUUUCAUUUCUUCUAAAUUUUCAGCAUAGUCGUUCAUCAGAUCCUCUGUCAUUCUACUGACCUUGGGAGCUGUAACGACACCUUUUCACGGCUGGUGGCAGUUGUACUUAUUUUCUUAAUUCAUCUGACAGAGUUUACUAAUUUUUCAAAGAACCACCUGUUGGAUUGGUGGAUCUUCUCUGCUAUGUGUUUGUUUUCUGUUUGGUUAAUUCUGAGCUUAUAUUAUUUUGGUCCAUCUAUGACUUUAAAUUUUGUCAUUCUUUUUCUAGUUGCUUAAGAUACAUAUAAAUUUAUCUUAAUUACGGUUUCUGUUCUCUUCUAAUACUUUACGUUAAUUACUUCAGCUAUUCCCCAGUUUUUAUAUGUUGUGUUUUCAGUGUUACUCACGAUUCCUGAAGGAAAAACCGGUGAUAAAGGGGGAAACAAGUGAAGACAGGAUGGCUGAGAAUUUUCCAGAAUUAACUAAGUAAAGACACGAAUCUGCCAAUUCACAACGUGUAAUGAGUUCUGGGAAGGAGAAACAAGAACAGAGCCACUCGUGGACACGAGCUGCAGUGAGAAGGCAGAAUGCUGGGCAAAGAGGGGACUGUGAAGGCAGCUGCAGAGAAAAGCGGGACCCCCAAGGGACGGCGACCAGGAUGACCCCUGGCUCCCGAGGACAGAGGCUGGACGAUAAGGAGGCGCGGAGUGGGGAGAAAACAGCUCCGGCCCUGGAAUCCUGCGCCAGCCCAACCUCAGCAAGGGUGUGGGCAAAACUAAAGUUUUCUCCAGAAGUCUCCCACAAAUAGGCCUUUGUGGAUGGCUUCCCUGGCAGAACAGCGCUGGAAAGACCACUGAAGGACGCGCUCCAGGACGCACAGAGCUAAAGGGGAGCAGAGUCGGAGAAGCCGGGACGUGAGCCCCAGGCACCACAGCGGAGGCUUGGGGCCGAGAGGGAAAUGCCAGGCUCGGGCAAAGAGCAGGCCUCUGUGGCGGGCCCGGCCCUGCCCUCAGGAACCCCAUCUAGCGCAGACUGAGGAGCGAGUGCAGCUGAGAGUCGAGGUCAUUCACGCAGUGUCCUCCUGGCUUUCCUCUGCAGAGGCCGCGGCAUCCGUUCUUCCCCGGGCCUCAGGCCCCUGUGAGAGGAGCACCAGGCGGAGGCGGGUGGGCCCUGUCCUGGCAGUGGCUGUGCCAGGACCUGCAUGCCCCUGGCACUGCCGGCACCAGCACUUGAGGCACACAGCUUCCGGGCCAGGACCUGCGGCUCCCUCGGACAUGGCUCCCGGGGCUGUAACUGGCCCCAAGGCCACUGGAACCUGCACCUAGAGCCCCCAGCGUCCCCGCGAGACCAAGCUGCUGAAGCAGACGCUGGGCACGCCGCUCUUUCUGGGGCUUUUAUUUCUUUAAAAUAAUUCAUACAAAUGGUGACAGUCACAAACAUGAUUUUAACCAAGAUACUGCGAGCUACCACAUCAGCAGGACGGACGGCACCGGCACAGGCCGGGACACGGCGCGCUUGCAGCCCAGACAGAUGCCGCGGGCCCACGCUCUCUUCGUCUCGAGCCGUGUCGCGGUGCCGUCUUCAUUUGGAACAAGGGGGUUCAUGCCAAAAUUAGGAAAACAGCCUUUGUUUUGUUUUCUAAGUUAUUCUAAAAAUAAGACAAGCAGGU
Equus quagga is the source of this 6817-nucleotide long non-coding RNA. RefSeq lists it as uncharacterized. The record is from RefSeq and is a predicted model, not a curated record. Lineage: Eukaryota; Metazoa; Chordata; Mammalia; Perissodactyla; Equidae. The transcript is spliced from 2 exons.